This 878-nucleotide ribosomal RNA is filed under the name uncultured bacterium. Its description in RNAcentral is "bacterial SSU rRNA". It matches the Rfam family "Bacterial small subunit ribosomal RNA", at positions 47 to 916 of the family's 1533-position model. The record is from RNAcentral.
CUUUACACAUGCAAGUCGAACGGCAGCACGGAGAGCUUGCUCUCUGGUGGCGAGUGGCGAACGGGUGAGUAAUAUAUCGGAACGUGUCCAAUAAUGGGGGAUAACGAGUCGAAAGAUUCGCUAAUACCGCAUACGCCCUACGGGGGAAAGCAGGGGAUCGUAAGACCUUGCGUUAAUGGAGCGGCCGAUAUCUGAUUAGCUUGUUGGUGAGGUAAAGGCUCACCAAGGCGACGAUCAGUAGCUGGUUUGAGAGAACGACCAGCCACACUGGAACUGAGACACGGUCCAGACUCCUACGGGAGGCAGCAGUGGGGAAUUUUGGACAAUGGGGGCAACCCUGAUCCAGCCAUUCCGCGUGAGUGAAGAAGGCCUUCGGGUUGUAAAGCUCUUUCGCAAGGGAAGAAAACUUAUGAUCGAAUAAAUCAUGAGGUUGACGGUACCUUGAUAAGAAGCACCGGCUAACUACGUGCCAGCAGCCGCGGUAAUACGUAGGGUGCGAGCGUUAAUCGGAAUUACUGGGCGUAAAGCGUGCGCAGGCGGUUUUGUAAGUCGGAUGUGAAAUCCCCGGGCUCAACCUGGGAACUGCGUUCGAAACUGCAAGGCUAGAGUGUGUCAGAGGGGGGUAGAAUUCCACGUGUAGCAGUGAAAUGCGUAGAGAUGUGGAGGAAUACCAAUGGCGAAGGCAGCCCCCUGGGAUAACACUGACGCUCAUGCACGAAAGCGUGGGGAGCAAACAGGAUUAGAUACCCUGGUAGUCCACGCCCUAAACGAUGUCAACUAGUUGUUGGUAGAGUAAAAUCUAUGAGUAACGUAGCUAACGCGUGAAGUUGACCGCCUGGGGAGUACGGUCGCAAGAUUAAAACUCAAAGGAUUGACGG